UGGGGAAUAUUGGACAAUGGGGGGAACCCUGAUCCAGCCAUGCCGCGUGUGUGAAGAAGGCCUUAUGGUUGUAAAGCACUUUAAGCGAGGAGGAGGGUACUGGUAUUAAUACUACCAGCUACUGGACGUUACUCGCAGAAUAAGCACCGGCUAACUCUGUGCCAGCAGCCGCGGUAAUACAGAGGGUGCGAGCGUUAAUCGGAUUUACUGGGCGUAAAGCGUGCGUAGGCGGCUAAUUGAGUCGGAUGUGAAAUCCCCGAGCUUAACUUGGGAAUUGCAGUGGAUACUGGUUAGCUAGAGUAUGGGAGAGGAUGGGAGAAUUCCAGGUGUAGCGGUGAAAUGCGUAGAGAUCUGGAGGAAUACCGAUGGCGAAGGCAGCCAUCUGGCCUAACACUGACGCUGAGGUACGAAAGCAUGGGGAGCAAACAGG
RNAcentral lists this ribosomal RNA (430 nucleotides) under Pseudomonadota bacterium. RNAcentral describes it as "Proteobacteria bacterium partial 16S ribosomal RNA". It matches the Rfam family "Bacterial small subunit ribosomal RNA", at positions 355 to 776 of the family's 1533-position model. The record is from RNAcentral. Lineage: Bacteria; Pseudomonadati; Pseudomonadota.